UACAGAGGUCCCGAGCGUUGUUCGGAUUCACUGGGCGUAAAGGGUGCGUAGGCGGUUUGUUAAGUCAGCUGUGAAAGCCCGGGGCUCAACCCCGGAGAGUCGACUGAUACUGGCAAACUAGAGUACGGAAGAGGUAGCUGGAAUUCCCGGUGUAGCGGUGAAAUGCGUAGAUAUCAGGAGGAACACCGGUGGCGAAGGCGGGUCUCUGGGCCGAUACUGACGCUGAGGAGCGAAAGCGUGGGGAGCGAACAGG
RNAcentral lists this ribosomal RNA (253 nucleotides) under uncultured bacterium. Its description in RNAcentral is "partial 16S ribosomal RNA". It matches the Rfam family "Bacterial small subunit ribosomal RNA", at positions 524 to 776 of the family's 1533-position model. The record is from RNAcentral.